GUGAGGAAUAUUGGACAAUGGGCGCAAGCCUGAUCCAGCCAUGCCGCGUGCAGGAAGACGCAUCUAUGGUGUGUAAACUGCUUUUGUACGGGACGAAGGAAGUGACGGUACCGUACGAGGAAGCCCCGGCAAACUACGUGCCAGCAGCCGCGGUAAUACGGAGGGGGCUAGCGUUGUUCGGAAUUACUGGGCGUAAAGCGCACGUAGGCGGACUGGAAAGUCAGGGGUGAAAUCCCGGGGCUCAACCCCGGAACUGCCUUUGAAACUCCCAGUCUUGAGUUCGAGAGAGGUGAGUGGAAUUCCGAGUGUAGAGGUGAAAUUCGUAGAUAUUCGGAGGAACACCAGUGGCGAAGGCGGCUCACUGGCUCGAUACUGACGCUGAGGUGCGAAAGCGUGGGGAGCAAACAGGAUUAGAAACCCCUGUAGUCC
Molecule: ribosomal RNA, 429 nt
Filed under: uncultured bacterium
Lineage: Bacteria
Description: partial 16S ribosomal RNA
Rfam family: Bacterial small subunit ribosomal RNA
Source: RNAcentral